UGGGGGAUAUUGGACAAUGGGGGGAACCCUGAUCCAGCGACGCCGCGUGAGUGAAGAAGUAUUUCGGUAUGUAAAAGCUCUAUCAGCAGGGAAGAAAGAAAUGACGGUACCUGAGUAAGAAGCCCCGGCUAACUACGUGCC
Molecule: ribosomal RNA, 141 nt
Filed under: uncultured bacterium
Lineage: Bacteria
Description: partial 16S ribosomal RNA
Rfam family: Bacterial small subunit ribosomal RNA
Source: RNAcentral